AUUUAAGGGUUGGCAGCUGAGGCAGAAGUCUCUCACUGGAGAUCCCUACCUACCAGAGGCUUUCCAAAGCCAACAUGCAUACUGAGAACUUCUGGAAGACUUCACUUCAUGAUGACAAGACUCAACUAUUUCAGGUUGCUUUCCUCACUCUUCACCUGGGAGAGAAAAAGAUAAAGAUCUGUACAAAAUCCAUGCCAGACUCAAGGAUGCCUUCAACCAAGCUGCAAUCACUGAAAUGUUGCAAUAAAUCAGAGGGCAGCAAAUCUACUGCACUGAAUGCUUUCUAAGCAAGUAAUCUGCUACAAUGGAACAGCUCUCCCAACUGCUACA
Long non-coding RNA from Lagopus muta (rock ptarmigan), 330 nucleotides. RefSeq lists it as uncharacterized. The record is from RefSeq and is a predicted model, not a curated record. The transcript is spliced from 4 exons. Lineage: Eukaryota; Metazoa; Chordata; Aves; Galliformes; Phasianidae.